This 3300-nucleotide long non-coding RNA is filed under the name Sus scrofa (pig). Its description in RNAcentral is "lncRNA (ENSSSCG00065019052.1)". Lineage: Eukaryota; Metazoa; Chordata; Mammalia; Artiodactyla; Suidae. The record is from RNAcentral.
AGGGCCACACCCAUGGCAUGUGGAGGUUCCCAGGCUGGGGGUCGAAUCGGAGCUACAGCACCUUAUGCCACAGCCACAGCACCUUACGCCACAGCCACAGCAACGCCAGAUCCGAGUCGCAUCUGCAACCUAUGCCACAGCUCACGGCAAUGCCAGAUCCUUAACCCACUGAGAGAGGCCAGGGAUUGAACCCACAACCUCAUGGUUCCUAGUCGGAUUCAUUUCCACUGCGCCAUGACGAGAAUUCCCUGUGCCAUAUUUUAGAUUCCACAUAUAAGUGAUAUCACAUGGUAUUUGUCUUUCUCUCUCAAACUUACUUUACUUACGAUAAUCUCUAGUUGCAUCCAUGUUGUUGCAAAUGGCACUAUUUAAUUCAUUUCUAUAUAUGUAUAUACAUGCCUGAGUAGUCUAUUGUAUAUAUAUAUAUACUAAUCUUUUUAAUCCAUUCAUCUGCCAAUGAACAUUUAGGCUGCUUCUAUGUAGAAAAACUACGUUCAAGGUACCGAUAUUUAUCUGGAUAUGAAAUGCUUGUAAAUGUACUCCUAAAACUCAUGUGAGUCUCAUAACUUUAUUGUCUUAACUUACAAAGGACUGAGGAACAGUUUGAUAUAACCAAGAGUGUGGUUCUAUCAUACUCUAUAUAUAAGAGGGAAGACUGGGGAAAAAAUAGGGGUGUAAAUGGUGGCAGAGAUGUGUGGAUAAGGCAAAAGUAGACCCAAAGAGAAGAGUAAUACAAAACAAACAAUAAAUGCCAGAGAUGGAAGCACUGUGUUAAUUAUGGCUAAAAUCAGCUAAUAGGCCCCCUUCCCCAUCUGAAGCUUUUCGGGUAACACUGUCAGCCAGCCCUGUGCGAUCCAGAGUGAAGUGAAGUGGGAAUGGAAACGGGCAGAAACAGACAGGAAAGUCUCCCACUUCCAUGUAAGCCCAAGAAGGGCUUUAUUAACAUAUACUAGAGAAUUAGACUUUGCACAUUUGUUGGCUCCUUUACAUUAGACAGAGAAAUUUGAUUAAUGUCAAUUCUGCAAAGAACCAGCUGUAAAAAAGAACGAGCUGUAAAACUUGCCUGUCACUAAAUUAACAAAUUAAGGAGCAAGAGUUAUUCAAAUAAAUAAUUUUACACACCUGUAUGAAUACUCAAGAUAAAUGAAAAUACAUAUCCACACAAAACUUGUACAAGAAUAUUCAUAAGUGGGAUUAUUUAUAAUAACCAAAGAGUAAAAACUAUCAACGUGUCCAUCAAUUAUGAAUGGAUAAACAAAAUGGGUUAUGCAGUGGAAUAUUAUCUGGCAAUAGAAAAUAAAUAAAGUACUUUAUAUGACAGAACAUGGAUGAAUUCUGAAAACAUUAUGCUAGGUGAAAGAAGCCAGUCAUAAAAACCACAUAUUAUAUGAUUCCAUUCAUAUAAAAUAUGCAGAAUAUGCAAAUUCAUAGAGACAAAAAAUAGAUUAGUUGCUUUCAGGGGAUAAAGAGAGGACAUGAGCAGAGGAAUGGGAAUGAGGAGUGAUUGCUAACAGGUAUAAGGCUUCUUGUUGGGAUGAUGAAAAUGUUCUAAAGUUGAGUAUAGUGAUGGUUGCACAAUUGUGUGAAUACACUGAAAACCACUGAAUUAUACACUUUAAAUGGAUAAAUUGUAAGGUGUAUUAAAUAUAGGCUGAAAAAUCUGGUUUUGGGGGUAUUUUUUUAAGGAGAUUCUUAAAGCCUGGACAGGGGCUAUGUCAGCUGACUGUAAUUCAGAUUUAGCUAAAUUAUCUUAUAGGCCUAUUCAAGCCCAGAGUCAGCUUCUAAAACUGCAAAAAUCUGAACGUUGAUUUAAUUUUUUAAAAAAUAACUGACAUUAAGAUGUUGGACCUCAUCUCUGCUCUUUCUCUACAACUCUAUACCACUUGUUCAAUUGGUUUAAGAAGAAACAUAUCUGAAAUAACAACGGAACUCAUUCACUGAGAUCACAAGUGUUUACUGAGCAUCUAUUAUGUGACGGAUGGCUUUCCAGGCUCCAGGAAUUCAACAAUGAGACACAAAGUCUCUGCUUAAAAGAUGCUUACAAUACAUUCACCAGGUAGUCUCAAGAAACCUGAGUGCUACAAAAGGGUAAGUGUUGAAUACUUCAGGAGCAUAAUCUGGGGUUGGUGUGUCAGUACGGGAAUACGGAAGAAGGAAUGCCUCAACCCAGGCAUGAAUAAUAACUAAAAUUGAUAGAAAAAUAGUGAGGCUUGACAGGAGUGUUCUAGGCAGAUGGAGUAAGUACAAAGACCCAGAUGCAAUAGUGAGCAGGGAUAAUUAAGGAAUAAAGCACUUUGAUGUGCCUGGAGCAUAAACUGCAAGAAUUGGGGUUGCAUAGCAGGGAGGGCUGAUAUAGCUGAAGCUGGUGAAGACCGAGACCUUUAAAAAUUUUUUUUUUUCCCUUUUUAGGGCCGCAUGAGUGGCAUAUGGAAGUUCCCAGGCUAGGGGUCAAACUGGAACUACAGCUGCUGGGCUAUGCCACAGCCAUAGCAGCACGGGAUCUGAGCAGGGUCCACCUAUACCACAGCUCACUGCAAUGCUUGAUCCUUAACCCACUGAGCAAGGCCAGGGAUGGAACCCGCGUCCUCAUGGAUACUAGUCGGAUUUGUUUCUGCUGUGCCACAAUGGGAACUCCCCCUUUUAAAUUUGUAAUGUGACAAAAGACUUGGGAGCCAAGCUGAAGAGAUCAAAGUGCAUCCUGAGGGAAAGAGAGAACUAAAGGACUUUAGUAAUGGGAAAAGAGCUGAUCAGAAUUUAGUUUUCUAAGAUCACUCCAGCUGCACCAUGGACAUUGAAUUAGAGGGGGUGUGGAAUUAGAUUGGAGGCAGGGAAGGGGGAGAGAAGACGGUUGGUGUGAUCUAGAGAAGGACUGGUGGUGUCCGGGGUCAGUAUGUGAGGAAGGUUAGAAAAAGGAGUGGACAGGAUACAGAGAUAUUUAGGAGGUAGCACUUUUAAGACCACGUGAUUGGCUAGAUGAGGGAAUGAUGAGAGGAGGAGCCUUAGGAUGGUGGCUAGGUUUCUGGCAGAGAUCACUGUGGGGUACCAGCCACUAAAACAGAAAACUAUGUUUUAAAAAUCAGGUUUGAAGGUAAGAUAAGUUCAGUUGUAUAGUCAAAGCAGAUCUCCAACAGACAACUGAGAUAUACAACACGAAGGCAAAUGAUUAUAACCAAAGUCACACAGGGCAUGAUGAGUAGAUGCAGAAAGAGAAGAGUGCUCAGGUCAAGCCUCUAAAGCCAACUGACAUUUAUGGGAUGGACAGAUCAGGGGAGGUGGCAAAGAAAACUGCAAAGGAAUGGC